This is a non-coding RNA of Phoenix dactylifera (date palm), 3490 nucleotides long. NCBI's taxonomy places the organism in Eukaryota, Viridiplantae, Streptophyta, Magnoliopsida, Arecales, Arecaceae. The record is from RefSeq and is a predicted model, not a curated record.
AGGAGCCCAAAACUCAACCCUUAUACUAAGAUCGUGGUUUACUAUAUAGUUUUUGAAAACAUUGUUCAAGUCGAGUUUCUCAUAUAGUCAUGGUUUGCUGUAUCGGUCGAGAUCGUAUUGUACUAGUCCGUAAUGUACCAUAUCAGAUGUACCGUACUGGUGCCGAGCUGGUAUGCUAUCUCAUAUCGUACCGACACUCGAUAUGCUAUCUUGUACCAUAUUGCACUGUGUACCAACACUUUAGGAUGGUAGUGGUAAGGGGUCCGGUAUCGAGACGGUGAACUUUGCACAUAAUGUCCCCAUUUUACAACCCAUUUCUUGGUGCUUAAUUUUCUUUUGUUGUUUUUGGAUGCUACUUUUUAGUUCACAUUCUUACAGAUCAUAAUUGUAGUCAGGAAGGUCAAGAAUUCAAGUUAUUAAGUAGUUAAGAACAAAUAUAAAGAGAAAAUAAAAGGAAUCUAAAUGUUGCUUUCUUUACCAAGUGAAGCAUAUGAUAAAAUGUUAAAAAUGAUGAUAUUAUCAGGUUUAGGUAUGCUGGCAUGUUAUUCUUUUGCUUGGAGGAACAAGGUGUGAGUAUCAUUUUACUUUGUGCUACUCGUCAUGCGUCAUAUUUUUAUUUUGAGAGAUUCAACAUAUAGUUGGAGACUUGGAGCUACUGACACCACUAAGUAAGCAUUUAGCAACACCAACAGUUUCUUAAUGGUUUAUAUGCUUAAUUUUUAUUUAAAAAGAUAAAUAAAGAGAACAUUUUAAUUUUUCAAGAAUAUCAUUUUUCAAGCUGUUCUCUUUCCUUUUUUGCUCUUUUGUUGUUCAUAUAUCUUUCUUUUGCCACCUUGUUGAAGAACAUCUAAGAGAGAAUUCACAUAAUUAGCUUUUCCAUUUUACAACUCUCUUCCUAGAAAUUGAUAGGCUUCAUUUCAGGUAUCUUGAAGUGUUUAAGUAAGGUAUGCCAAACCGAUACUGAGACCUGUACUGCUCUGCGGGCGGGUCGGUACGGUAUUGGUUCGGUAUUGUAUCGAUACACGGUAUGCUUGGGCGUGCCAGUUUCGAACCGACAUGCCCAAUUUUUUUAAAAAAUUUUUCAAGUUUAAUUAAUUGGUAAUUACUUUUUUUCAACUUUUUCAAUGAUUUUAAGUAUAAUUUGAUAUUUUUUUUGAUAUUUUUUGAUGUCUCUAUGAUCCAGGUUUAACCUAAGUGAUGUAUUUUGUUGUUUAAAGUGAUGCAAAAUAUAAAAUUAUUAGUAAGAUGUUGCAUGCUACAAGAAACAACAUGAAAUAUCCUAAAAUCAACUAGUGAGAUAAAAAAUAUAACAUAAUACAAUCAAUUAUAUAUAUUUAAAGUACAUCAUACAUAUGAUAUCUAAAAUCUCGUCGAGUGGCGAUACUUUUCGUAGAUAUCUGGAUUAUUAAUAUAGUUAGGAGGCAUAUCAGCCCACAUCUCUAACUAAGUGGCAUUGUAGUCUUGUAUGUUCAUCUCAUAAGGAACGCGCUUUGGAUUUUAAGUGCUCUAAGUUUUAAGCACUUUGGAAUUUGUCGCUGAAGCUCUAGCUCUGAGUGAUACUGAUAAUACGGCUGUGAAUGAGCCAUCCAAAUAAGCCGACAACAAAAUCUGAUCUGUAAGAUGCUCCAGACUGCGUAGGAUAGUAGCCAUUGAAAGACGAUGCCUUGAACGCACCAUAUCCAUAUCCGUAUCUAUAUGGGUCAUAGGCUAUCUGUGGCUGCGGAUAAUAGGAGAUCCAAUAUGCAACUCGGAACCUGAUGUCUUUGGAUCCUACUCCAUGUGCGAGGUCAUCUGUAGUUGCAACGUGUCCUCCUAAAUGAUCUUAAGGAGCCCGUCUUCUAUGUGUAAUGGUAUCCUCACGGGCUCUACCAAAUCGUAUAUUGUGGUCCUUAUUCUGUGUAGGAUGCGUAAACUGGGACUCACCGGUGAAUCGAAGACCACACUACGGUCGUGUCUCAUAAACGAUGGUCUUAUAUCCUCCACUUUCUUUCUGGCUAACAGAUUCAUGACCAUCAGAACUGUGCUCCUGAUCUCCGAAUCUAAGUGAACUAGCUCCACCACUCUUCAUAAGGGUUGCAGGUUCCUUUUAUAUUUUUUUUGGUGUGCUGAGUAGCUGCCUGCCUACCCCUUGUGCCCCUUUUUGCCUAUUUGCCCUUCGUGCUUCUCUCUGCCUGCUUACUCUUCGUGCCCCUUUCUGUUUGGCUAUAUUGGGGGGAUGGAUACUACCCUCCUGACCGAGUCGACUGAGCAGCGUAGUGGUAUUGUUUAAGCGUCGCUCGAUCAUAUCUUUGAGCGGAUAUCUCAGACAAAAAAUUAUGUGAUGACCGACUCUCCAGUGAUCCCUGUAGCUAUGGCUGAUUAGCUGGAAGAAUGCGUGGAAUAUUGUGAUCUGCCCAUUGUCUUGCAUUGAUCCUAGCCUCGCUUGCUAUGAAACUGGCUAGUCAUGGAGGCGAUCCUCGCUCAUCAAGCUCCGACUCUUGCUGCUGGCUCAGAAGCUGUCUGAUCAUAAGAUCAUCCUCAUCGUCAACGAAAGCACUAUGGAUCAAAUCAUGUACUUUAGCUCCACUUUCUUCUGAAUGCACUUCAGCCUGAACCUCAGAUUGUAGUGAACAUAUACAAGAUCGUUGAGGCGCUUCUGUGCCAGACGGUUCCUCUACUUGUUGUGGAUGAGGGCGAAGGUGGAUAGUUGUGCUCACAACCACUCGAGAAGACCGUCAGGGAGAGGAUUCAGAUAGCUAGCCGCUAAAGUUUUCUCGCGGACAAAUCAAAACGAAUCCAUAGCUACAAAAACAUUAAAGAAAAUUACAUAUAAAAUAGUAUCAUAUUAGUAACCAUCUAAGUCCAGGUAAAUGUCCUCCUAAUGUGUAAUAUACCUAGAUUCAUACUUUUCUUACAAUAGCUGCCGUGAUUCUAAAGAUCAAAAUAUUUUAAUCUGUGAAAAAGAACCAUGUUGUUAUAUGUUAAUAAUUGAAGAUACCAAUUAACUUAUACAUGUCAUUUAAGUUAAUUUACCUCUUCUAGACAGAGGGCAACGACUUUUAUAUCAAGCUUCAUCUUGUAAAUCACAUUACGCAGAGCGGCCAGAAGUUCGUCAUCCAUAUCGAUUCAAGAUGCAAGUUCCUACUCAUCUGGUAAUCCUACUGCGGCUCAAUGAUAUCGAUGUCUCCUAGGCAUACAUCGGAUCCACCUUCUUAAUUUGUAUCUUGGUCCUCUCCAUCAUAUGAUAUAAGAAACUUAUCUGAAGGUACCUUUUGUUGUCCACGAUCUAAAGCACUUUAUAUAAUGGUUAAUAGCCUUCAUUAUCUUUCUCGGCCUAUUGCCAGAAUGUCUACCUUGUCACCAAGUCCUCGACAGUGCUUUCUUUAGUGCUAGCCCUCGCAAAUUUACUUUUCUGCCACUCGAGACUGACAAACAUCUGAUAUAGAGAUACUUUCCUCUCAAGAAAGUUAUCAAGUGCAACGUAGCUGAUAGCAAACUAUAUCACUCCUAG